UAGCUCCCAUACCCACAGAGAAGCCAAUCAAGAAGCCAGCAACCAUACCUACAGAGACGCAAUUGCAAAGCCAGCAACCAUACCUACAGAGACGCCAAUUGCAAAGCCAGGUAUAG
Pseudophryne corroboree (corroboree frog) is the source of this 116-nucleotide long non-coding RNA. RefSeq lists it as uncharacterized. NCBI's taxonomy places the organism in Eukaryota, Metazoa, Chordata, Amphibia, Anura, Myobatrachidae. The record is from RefSeq and is a predicted model, not a curated record. The transcript is spliced from 3 exons.